GGCUCCACGAGGACGAAGAAGGCGUCCCUCCUACCACUCUCCGCGAGAUUUCCCUCUUGCGGAUGCUCUCUAGGGAUCCUCAUAUCGUCAGAUUGCUGGGUACACCAAAUGAACAAGUCUGGCCAGGAGUGAGCAAGCUGGUGAAUUGGCAUGAGUAUCCACAAUGAAAAUGGCCUUAACUUGCUAGCUGAAAUGUUGCAUUAUGAACCAUCAAGAAGGAUUUCAGCAAAGAAAGCCAUGGAACAUUCUUAUUUUGACGAUUUAGACAAAUCGUAUCUUUAAACAGCAAUCCGGCUGGGUUGUUUUAUGAUUGUAGUGAGCAAGUUUAUCUUGACUUUAGGAUAACAGAGUUCAAGAACCCUCAAAUUGCUUGCCUUAAGCAUAUUACAUUUUUCUUUAAUUUCUUGAAUGAAUAUUGUACUGCUAUUGGGUUUGGUAGGUGCACUGAAAAUGUAAGGCUGCCAUUUAAGGGCAUAUUAAGUAGUGAUUAUUCCUUCUACAGAGGGUUGGGCUUCCCCUAGUAAAUAGUCUACAUUUUGGACCAAGCUCAUAUUAUAUAUGCUGAUUUUGAGAUGUGGUGCAAUUGCUUUUCUUUUUUUGCUGGUUAACUUUUUGAAUUUUAAUGUUUAAGGAUGUCAAAUAGAAUGUAAAUGGAGAUGUUAAUAUUGGACACUCCGAGGACUCGACUCUGAAGAAUCUUUUGACUCCUUUUGAGGUUAACAAGAUGAAUUUUCCUCAUCUUUAUUUAUGUUGAAGGUCAAUACAACUAUUUUUGUUUGUCUGUCCUUUUUCUCCUAUCCUCUUUUCUCCUAUCCUCUCAUUCUGUGUUUAAUGUUCUUCUGGUGUAUGCAUGGAUUGUGAAUGGUUUCAUAAUAGUAUUUUUCUGUAAGUUACGUUUUUCUGUUUUUAUAGCCCAUUUUAUUGGAUGAAAUUAAUAUUCAAGUGGCCUUCGGCACCUCUUUCUUUCAGGCUUUUUUCCACAGAAGACAUGUGAGAAAAGUCUGGAGCAGCUUUUGCAUCUGAAUGCAUCUUUACCUGUAACAAGUGCCAGGAUGGUAAGCAUGUGAAAAACAAUGCCAAGGGGAAGUCUGUUAUUGAGGACAGUGUGUCCAAGAACGAAGAAAAGGGGUAAAGUUACAGUUGUUGUACCUCUUCGACGUUCUGCUAGGAGAGCUAAAAUUGUGCAGGUGCAAGAGAAAAAUGCUAACAAGAAAGUUGGGCGGCCAAGGCGAAAAAAAUGAAAUCAAGAAAAAAGGUCUAUCCUGGUCUCCUGCUGUCACAGAAGCCUAAUGAUGAACGAGUAGCACUCUUUAGGAGAAAUCUUCUUGUUCUUUCUGGCGAGUUAGAUGCCACAAUUGAUUCACCAAAAUGUAGUCUUUGUAGUGAGCUAGAAUCUACACCUACAGUGAAUUACAUUGCUUGUGAACUGUGUGGAGGUAUGGUAGUUCCUUUCUUUAUUUCAAGUUUGUAAGGAAGUGUAACUUUUGAAAACUGUGUGGCCUGUGUAUUAUGCAAGAACCAACCAUGGAAUAUGUUUGCUAGUAUUUAAUGGACUUAUAUGUGUGUCGUAGCAAGAGUGCUCCUGUUUGUGCUAGUACACCUAUGAUCAGAAGUGGGGAGGCUAAACUGGCUGAGUUGAAGAGUGAUGAUGGGAUUGAAUGUGCAGGGUUUCAUUUGGUCCAAGCGCAUAUUCAUCAGGAAGGGAAGCAGUAGGCAAUGUUCAUACUUUGGCAGCAAGUGGAUAAAGAAAAAGCAUCAGGAAGGGAAGCAGAAAAGAAAUAAUUUUUCAUUUUGUUUUAUUCUUCAUCUUUGGCAUAUUCCAUUGCAUUAUUUUUGAAAA
Ipomoea triloba (trilobed morning glory) is the source of this 1840-nucleotide long non-coding RNA. RefSeq lists it as uncharacterized. Lineage: Eukaryota; Viridiplantae; Streptophyta; Magnoliopsida; Solanales; Convolvulaceae. The record is from RefSeq and is a predicted model, not a curated record. The transcript is spliced from 3 exons.